This 937-nucleotide ribosomal RNA is filed under the name Escherichia coli. RNAcentral describes it as "partial 23S ribosomal RNA". It matches the Rfam family "Bacterial large subunit ribosomal RNA", at positions 165 to 1142 of the family's 2925-position model. The record is from RNAcentral. Lineage: Bacteria; Pseudomonadati; Pseudomonadota; Gammaproteobacteria; Enterobacterales; Enterobacteriaceae.
CAUAGGUUAAUGAGGCGAACCGGGGGAACUGAAACAUCUAAGUACCCCGAGGAAAAGAAAUCAACCGAGAUUCCCCCAGUAGCGGCGAGCGAACGGGGAGGAGCCCAGAGCCUGAAUCAGUGUGUGUGUUAGUGGAAGCGUCUGGAAAGGCGCGCGAUACAGGGUGACAGCCCCGUACACAAAAAUGCACAUAUUGUGAGCUCGAUGAGUAGGGCGGGACACGUGGUAUCCUGUCUGAAUAUGGGGGGACCAUCCUCCAAGGCUAAAUACUCCUGACUGACCGAUAGUGAACCAGUACCGUGAGGGAAAGGCGAAAAGAACCCCGGCGAGGGGAGUGAAAAAGAACCUGAAACCGUGUACGUACAAGCAGUGGGAGCCUCUUAAUGGGGUGACUGCGUACCUUUUGUAUAAUGGGUCAGCGACUUAUAUUCUGUAGCAAGGUUAACCGAAUAGGGGAGCCGAAGGGAAACCGAGUCUUAACUGGGCGUUAAGUUGCAGGGUAUAGACCCGAAACCCGGUGAUCUAGCCAUGGGCAGGUUGAAGGUUGGGUAACACUAACUGGAGGACCGAACCGACUAAUGUUGAAAAAUUAGCGGAUGACUUGUGGCUGGGGGUGAAAGGCCAAUCAAACCGGGAGAUAGCUGGUUCUCCCCGAAAGCUAUUUAGGUAGCGCCUCGUGAAUUCAUCUCCGGGGGUAGAGCACUGUUUCGGCAAGGGGGUCAUCCCGACUUACCAACCCGAUGCAAACUGCGAAUACCGGAGAAUGUUAUCACGGGAGACACACGGCGGGUGCUAACGUCCGUCGUGAAGAGGGAAACAACCCAGACCGCCAGCUAAGGUCCCAAAGUCAUGGUUAAGUGGGAAACGAUGUGGGAAGGCCCAGACAGCCAGGAUGUUGGCUUAGAAGCAGCCAUCAUUUAAAGAAAGCGUAAUAGCU